GCUAGCCACGCAGGAGGAGGAGGGAAUAAUAAGGUACUUUUGACAGUGUAUUUAUGACAAGGAAAGGGACAGUACCAGGACCAGUGUGUGGGUUUUACACUGACAUCAGUUACAUGUGUGAGUGGAGGAGGCUCUGUGAUCAUGGAGAGAUCUGAGGGGUAAAGGUGUCUUUGAUACACAAUCACUGAGGGCUGCUGCCUCAAGGCUCAAGACCUCAGCACCAGGAUGGCAGAAUGAACAACCCCUCUGAAGGAGUUAGCUAAGUGAGCUAAACAGUGGUGAAGACAGGCUUACGGUAGCCUUAUUAAGUAGCUCCAAUGCAAUCUUGAGUAGGCUGUAGUAUUUGUGAGAGAUAAAAGCCAUCAACUCUAAGUGUAAUGUUAGCCCCUUCUUUAGAGAAGACAUGUAUGACUUUAAGUGGUGUUUCUAUGACCAAUUUUCUGCAGUUGUGUCUCGUCACCUAACCAUAUCCUGUAUGUGUUACCUCCAGAGACGGCUUCAUAUGGUGGAGGCAUGUCCAUAUGAGAGAAGGAUGCUGCCGGGGGGCGAGGGGUGGAAGGCUCGCCGACUGACUCCUCAUCCUGAACCCCAUACCAACUGGGCCAGAUAGACGUCUGGGGGAUGGGGGGGGGGAGAGAGAAAGAGAAAAGGAAUUAAUACCACACACACGCACACUUUCAUUCUCAACUGGAGUGUGAUGAUAAACACAAGCUAAACAGAAGCAAAAGCUCACUAGCGGCCAAAAGACAGAAUCUUCACCCUGCAUCUCCCCGUCUCUCUCCCCCUCCGUCCGUCUCAAGCAGCGCCCUAAAUGGCUCACUAUUCCCGAUAUAGUGCACAACUUUUGACCAGAGCCAUAUGGGGCCCAGCCAAAAGUAACCCACUUUAUAGGGUAUAGGGUGCUAUUUGGGACGCACCCUGUCUCUGGUCUCCCCCUGGCAUGUCUCCAGAGCCCUUCGGGGAGGCUGCUGCCUGCCUGCUGGAGUUAUGGAUGGCUUGGGGGCCUCCUUGCUGAACAUUCCAUUACAAUCUAAACAGGGAGUAUCAUGCUUUAGACUAGAAGACUGAAAGAGGAGACGGGGUGGCAAACAGAAAAGAGAAGGAGGUUGAGGUGAGCCAGAGAGGGGUACUAAAGCAGUGAGGCAGUAAAGGCUUGGAAUGGAGAGCAACAGAUCAUUCAAGCUGGCUCACUGGGGUGGCUGAAAAGGACCAGGUGGAAUCCCAGGGUUUAGAACACUCAGCUUUACCUGGGUUCUGUUCCGAGCACAGCUACAUUCUGCCUGACAUUCUAAUUCGUACAUUCUACUUAGGUAUGUUAACGGUUAACUGUUAAUGGACGAAAAUGAUAUAAUGCUUAUUGGUCUAUAGGUUAAUUUGCAUCAUUUAUUGGAAUUAAAAUUGGCACGUGUAUUUUU
This is a long non-coding RNA of Oncorhynchus masou masou (cherry salmon), 1415 nucleotides long. RefSeq lists it as uncharacterized. NCBI's taxonomy places the organism in Eukaryota, Metazoa, Chordata, Actinopteri, Salmoniformes, Salmonidae. The record is from RefSeq and is a predicted model, not a curated record. The transcript has 2 exons.